Molecule: unclassified non-coding RNA, 182 nt
Filed under: uncultured fungus
Lineage: Eukaryota; Fungi
Description: sequence contains ITS1, 5.8S rRNA gene
Source: RNAcentral
UCACGUAUCCACGUAUAAACCAUCCGUGAACUGUCUCACCCUUUGAUUGUCUAAGUGAGUUUGUAAUAGAUAGCACAUGGACUCGUUUCUUGUGAUUUGGAGAGUUCGCUAUUCUGUUGCCUCGGAAUUUAUUCCGUACUUAGAUUCUCUCAGGUGUAUUUUCUAAAUCACACUUGUAUUAA